Molecule: long non-coding RNA, 15665 nt
Organism: Pseudopipra pipra
Lineage: Eukaryota; Metazoa; Chordata; Aves; Passeriformes; Pipridae
Exons: 2
Source: RefSeq, a predicted model, not a curated record
GGGCAGGGCAAGGGUGGAUCCGGUUCUUGGUGUUAACCACACGACAGGUCAACAGCCUGACUGGUAAUGGCAAAGUGGAUGGGGCUUCCAGUGCCAUUUACUGUGGGAACCACUCACAUCUGGGUAGCAACAGGGUCUGUGCCUUCCAUCGGGGUGCUCUUCCUGAGGGAAAGGAGGGCCACAGGUGACUCUCCUCUUGGGUGUUUUUGGAUGAGAAGUUUUAAACCACUGAUGAGCAGCCCGGCUGGGGCUGGUGUGACACUUGGAAUGUGGUGCACUGAAGGCAUAAGGGAAAUGUUGAAAAAAAACCUGGUCUACGUUGUUCUUUACUGGUUGGUAAGAAGGGUGCCAAGUUUAAUAUAGGCUUGUUCUUCACUGCUUUUUCCUGUUCCCCAGUAAAUUCACUCCAGGGAUGUGAAAGACCUGCCUUUUUAGUUGCUGCUUUUAGCUAUUUUCUUUUGUAGUGCUGACAAUGAUUCACUUGACAUCAGCAAUUUAAAAAUGUGCUACUUGGUUUAACUGAUGCAAUGAGCAACAUACUAACAGGAUCUAAGAUUUUUUUCUGCAAAAAUACCCUUUUUUUCGUAUGCAUUAGGACUGGCAGCCCCUUAUACACAGAAUGGUUUUUCAGUGAGGUGAAUUUGCAUUGAAAGAGUGGAGCAUGUUCACCAUAUGAGUGAUCUCUUGCACUCCUACACCUUCUUUCUCUCUGUUACCUUUGCACAACCUUCCCAAGGUAAGAAGGCAAGAAUAAAAGAUGUAUUAUAUUGUCUUGUGGCUAAACUACAGCUGAAAUUAUGUGGACUGAGGCUCUGUGUAUAUGUUCGAUGCACCCAGUGAUGAUUUUGGGUGCAGCUUCUGGGGGCUGGAAAAAGCUCCAGAAAGCUGCACAGUGAGGAUAACAGCUUUUCUUCAAAAACAGCAAAAACAAAUACUCUUCCAGCAGUUUUCCAGCUCCCAGUGCUCAGAAUCCCUGCCUACAGCCCUGGGUGCCUGGGGUAAGGAAGGGAGUUACUUUAUUUUCUUCCCCUUUUGCUUAUAUCCAUGGCAGAGCUUUUUGAUUUAACCUUAACUGUCUUGGACUGUUGUCCCUGUCAAGCAAACAUGAGUAGAACACCAGAAAAUCUUGAGCUGCUUCCUCCCACAUUUGCCUGGUGUGUUUGUGAGAGAGUGCCAGGUACCACAGGAGUCAGUCCUGUCGUGCACACUGAGGGUGUGGGAAGAGGAUUCUGCAUCCCUCCCAUUCAAGUGCUUGCCUUGGUGAGUCUUGUUACUGUGUCUCACCAAAUGGAAUAUCCUCUAGGUUUUUGUAUUGUUUUCUUUUAAAGGAAAAGGCAAAACAUCUUACUUUCUUUGAAGAAAAUCUUCACAACUCUUUAAAAUCAGGAAAAAAAUAAGCUUGUCAGCAGAUCUGUAUAUCCAUCAUGCAUGUGGGUGCUUUUCUGUUUCAUUAUUCAUCAUUAUUGAGAACAAUUGUUUUUCUUUCUUUUCUUGGAAGUUCAUUUUAUUAGAGUAAAAUUCCAUCACUUUUAAUCAGGAAGGCAAAUGGAUGUGUCCAAAGCAGGUGUAAUUUGUAUAAUCUUUGAAGCAUAUGUGGGGGUUUGUUGGCCAGUUGACUGAAAGAAAAAGGAUUAUUUUUGGCUUGUUCCCUAGAAUCUUGCCUGUUCAGGAGCCAACAAAACUGUAAGAACAAACAGUACAUUAUUUACUUUGCUGACUGGUUCCUAUGGGUAAUUAAUCCAUCACUUAACUUCAGUGAGCCUUAGCAAAGUGCUGCCUACACAGUUGCUUCCCAGAACAAGAGAUUACAGUAAAAUACAAAAACUCUGCAGCAAAACACUAAAUCUGUGAGGCAGGAAUUUUACAGGAAGAGACAUCUUAAGUGUUGGAAUUGAAAUAUCUCAAAUAGCUGGUAGUCAGACAGGCUUAUCCUCAUCUUCCCUGCUGGACCAAAAGCUGGGUAUUGAUGAGUCUCGAGUAUUUUCUGUAGUGCUGGGAGUGAUGUGGGGUGAAGAUUUUGGUGUUCAGUCAUUCACUCUCAUCUUGAGUAGUCUUGUCUUUGUUUUAUUGUAUUCCAAGUGGCAUUUUAUUGGUGGUGGAUAAGGAAACUAUGGUAACCACAUUAUUCUUAGCCUUCUUGGAAGAAGCAGCUUUCGAAUAAACAGAGAAGCUGAAAUACAUUUUUAAGGCGUUUGGCAGACCAAGUGUUGCAUUAAAAAACAAAGCACCCAACCACUGAGUUAUAGUUCAUUUUGGAUUAAGAGAAAAUGGUUAUGAAAUAAAAAAGAAAUCUUUCAUAAAAGUAGAGUAAUUUAUUGGCAGGAAGACUAGAGGGAUAAAAGAAAGCUGGGAAGGUUGUAUAGAGCCCACCUAAGAAGAUCAGCAUGAGAGAGUGUAAGAGCCAAGAAAAAUCAAUCAAAAAGUAAUAAUAAGGGUUUGGGAUGAGAAAAGAGGCAGGGGAAGUAAUUUUCUUGGGGCAUCUGUUUGACAUUCUUUCAAACACAUUCUUGAUGAUUGUGAAAAGAGAUUUUUGUGUUUAGAUUGUACUUGGUGGAGUUUACUUUGUGUUUGGUCCAGAUAAAGACCCUAUCCUCAUGUUUUAUUGCUUCCAAUUAGGUAAAAAUGCAGCAAGAGGAAAAUCUGUACUGCAAAUACAUUGUGAUUCUGUCCUUCCAGUGCUAUAUAAAUGUUACAUAUAGAACAGAUACAGCUUCAAGCUUCAUUAAAUGUGUUAUACGUGUUCUGAAGUUGAGCGCAGGAGGGAUUAGGCACAUGAAAAACCUGCCUGGCUCUCAAGGGACCGUGGUGAUGAUAAGCUGUGUAGUUUUCAUUAAGUAAUUGGCCUGGGUAAGGAAGCUUAGGCCUGUUUGCCUGGAAUUGUCACAUGUGUACCGAGGGUUUGGGAUGUCCUGCUGUGCAAAGGGCCCCUCUGGCUCUGUGCUUUGGAAGAAAAGCCACUGCAGUUCAACACAUGAAGGGUUUAGCCCCUCACAGCCCUCCACCAACAGCACCGUCCCAUCUGGUGAAAGCAAAGCCCCAAGGAUUUGGAAAAUUACAGCAGGACUCCCUAUUUUUCCCUUAUCUCUUAUGGCUCUAUGCCUGAUAAGUUUGGAAUUUGGUAUGUGAAGUCUCGUUCCUGAGAAAUGCACAACUCAUUGGCUUCAGCAGGCUAGGAUUUUAUCUAAGACAUGUUUUAAAAUGGCAGUACUGUAGCGUGUUACAGAUGUUUGUGCUAACCAGUGCUUGCUGACAAGAUACAAUUAAGCUAAUUGGUUCCAACAUAUAUGUUUCUGAUUUCACGAAGCAAUUCAUACAGAAAAACCCUCAGGAAGUGACACAAACAACAUAUCUGCCACAUAGCAAGGGCAGCAGAUAUUGUACUCUCUCUGUCUUACUGGGUCUCUAAAGCAUUAUUCUUGUGCUAAACUCUUUGCUCACACACUGCGAAGUUGUUCUGGGCUCACCCAGUACUCCUCCAAGCACAGUCAAUUUAAACAAGACGGAGUUGUGGACUGGGUUUUUUUUUGUUUGAUUGGGGUUUUUUGUGUUUGGUUGGUUUUUUUUAACCCCCAAAAUAGCAAAACCAAACCAAACCCCAAAACUCAUAAAAUGUUAAUACAGAUGAAAUCAGAACAACAGAUUUUAAUUUUGUUAAACAUGAAUAAUAUCCUUCAUAGUCCUUUUCACUUCAUUUAUCUUCAUUCUAAUUAACAGAAAUCUCUUUUGUACUAUGUGAGGACAAACUUGAAAAGACAGAAACAUUUUAAAAUAGUGCCACAAAAUGUUCUCAUCUCUUUUCUUUUUUCAAAAGAGUACAGAAUAGGUUGCAAAAGCUGUGGUCACAACAGAUUUCCAGACUGGAAGCUUAAUUAGAAUCACUGAUCGUAUGGAAGCAAUAUAUAACAUUCCUGUGUAAUCUGGGAGAAGAGAUUUAUUACCUUUUUUUUUUUUUAUCCUAAUGUGAGUAUAUUGUUCUCCCAACUGAUGCUGAAGCAAAUAGAAACCAGUUAACAAACACCACCACCACCCCCCGCUCUGGAUUUUUUUCUUCUGGGGGCUUAAUUCCUGCUUUUGUGUCCUGCCUGUUCCUGCAGCCAAGGUUGACAACUGUGGCCCAGAAGCAGCACAUAUGAUUUAUUUGUGGAAUACUGUAUAAACCUCAGUACUGUCAAGGACCAGAAAUAAUGUUUCCCUGUGGACAUAAAUCUUUACUGGAUCCUCGUUUUUGGUCCCAAGUGCUUGCAUAACUUUGUGUAGGGCUCAGAUGGGAAUGUUCAGGAUAUGGAGUCAGAAUUGUAAUUUCUUUUACUGCCUGACGGAUUUAGUUUUUACAGUUUUCUGGUCUGCAAACUUCUAAGGUUGUUUCAGAGGGCUUUUUGCAAUGGAUUUAAAGCAAAUUGGUAUAUUCAAAUACUCUAUGGCAAUUAUGUCUCACCAAACAUCAGGAUCAGGAAAUAAGUGGUCCCAGGGGUUGCCAGAGCCAUAUUUCUGCUUUCUACCAUGGGCAGCUGGGGCUGCUCUGAGACACUUUCUCAUGUCUUCAAUAGCACUGGGACUUGGCCAUCCCCUGCUUGUUCUUACACACACGUGGGAGGUGAGGGUUGGUAGCUCCCAUGCCACGUGUGUAUGGUCUGCAGCAUACACACCACAGCAGGAGUUCAAUCCACACUGAAGCAUUUCUAUAAAAUAUAUUUGGUUUUGCUAGAUCCAUGUUUCCUCUAAAUACCCUGAUUAACCUGAUACUCAUUAGGAACAAACAAUUAACUUAGUUCUUGGGGCAAGAAUAACACAGGGGGGGCUGUCAGAGUUCUAACUCCCAAACAAAAACACGGCGGUGUGACAGUGGAAGGAGUGCUGCAGGCGUGGAAGGGAAUGAGUGGGUUGUGGGCUCGGUCUCUGAGGGGACCUAACUCCUUGCAGGAGCCAAACUGAAGCAGCAGAACAGGAGUUGUAGCCUCUGUGUUCCCCCUCCCUGUGGGCACAGGUGUGUCCACACCCACAUACAGACACCUUUAAAGACGGGCAGGUAUUGCCCAAACUUUGUGGCUGUAAAACAGACUCAGAUAUGUCACUCAAAGGAAAUGACUGGAGACAGUGUGAUGGCUUUGGAGUUCUCACAUCAGCCCUGCCAGCUGCUAAAUUGUAGAGACUAACAGCUUCUGUUAACGCUUGUUAAUGAUAAUGUGACUAUUAGGGGACUCCAUAAAAUGUCUGUUGUUUGCCGGCAUUAAAUGUGUUCCCAGUUACCGGGGUGCAGAGAGAGGCUUGGCUCCACAGUGUUCCCCUUGGAGAAAAAAAUGAGCCAACAAUGUUUUAACUUCUGAAGUUACUUGUGCCAAGUCACCUCAAAGUCUGCUUGUAUUUUAUCCAGUGUAUCCAUGGGUUCCCAGAACUCUGCCUGAUGCUUCCCACUGCUUGAAGGAAACAUAGUGUGUUUACUGAUGCUGCUCACAAGAGGUGGUUGUCUCUUUAAGGUGAAGGCUGCAACCGACUUUCAGUACUUUGGCAUCCCAGUAAAAGGGCUCUUUUAACCCCUAGUAGUGGCAUUGUAUCCUGUAGGGAUAAGGGUUACAUUGCAGAAGGUCUUGGCUUCCUGCCUGUCACUUGUAGCACAUGAGAGCCACCUACCAUGGCGUCACCGAGACCUUCGAAUCCUUGCUCUGGGGCACUUGAGAUAGUGUGGCAGGCAGGCACUAACCCUCCAAGGUCCUCAGGGCUCUCACAUGAACCUCAUCAGGUUCUGUGCAAGGACAUCCAAGGAAAUGUGCAGGUGAAGGUCAGUGAUUUCACCAUUCACGUGUAAAGUGGGAGCCUUUCAAACCUGCCCUCUCUCUAAUGUAAAGAAGGAACUUACCCUGUCCUCAGAAGCUCCUCGUUUGGCUUUCAGGGAUCCUUGGUUUGGUACCUAGCUCUCUGCCUCUGUUUUGUGGGAGGAAGAGCACUGGAAGCACUAUUUGCAAUAUUUGCACUCCUAUGAAGAUUUUACUUCAAAAGCAUUGCAUAAAUUAAACUGCAGUUAUCCCUGCUCGAAAUGGGAGCCUGAUGAUGUGCAAAGACAAGUCUAUUUUGCAGAAUCUUGAUGUUACAAUUUACUUCUGCCAAUGUCUUUAUUUUAAAAAUAGGUUUUGGGAUGUCCAUGCCCCAGUUUGCCAGUUCAAGAAACACCUGUGAUGGAUAACAGCACAAUAACAAAGUGGAUAUUGCAGUAUGAAGAUUUACUGAGAGAAGGGGAUAAAGAAGGAAUGUGACAGAGUAGGAAUGCUGGGUAAAUGUUAGUUUAGAGGUUAUUCCAGAUUUAAGUGUUUGCACAGAGAGAGAGGAGUGAAUAUAUCUGGGUUUAUACCAUACUUGUACUUCAGGUUCCUCUCAGCAUGGUUUUGAUAUCAGAACAUUUUUGGAUUUGUUCUUCUCUCUCCAAACCCUGAUUUAGGGCAGCUCCUCUCUGCAAAGUUUUCUUUUUUCCCUAAUCCUCAGAAGACAUUUCACCCCUGGGGUGGAAAAAUAAAAUCGCUCCUGACUCUUCUGGCCCUUCAGAAAGCACUGUUAAUCCUCAAAAGAUCUUCCCCGUCACCUUCAGCCCUGUCCCGUGACCAAGGCCCCUUGUCCUACACUUGGUAAACUGGGGGCAGAGUUACCAUCGAGUUCAUCCGUGGCUUAAUACAGUGAAGGCACUGUCAUAUUCCUUACAGUUUUAUCUUAUCACUCUGAUAAAAGCAGCAUGACUGUGCGAGCUGUAGAGGGAAGACAGAUCAAGAAGAACAAUGAAGCUGCUGAAGAGCCAACCCCGCUUCUCCUGAGGCUCAUGAAAAGACUCUCCCUCCCUCUGGGGCACUUGGGGCCAGCCCUUGGUGCCCUCGGCUUGCCCUGGGAGAGCCCCUGUUCCAGGCAGGGCAGGCAUGCCCUGCUCCUUGCAGGGGAAUGAGGAAAUUGUACUUGCAUUAAGCCCACUCCCCCACGGGAACCCGCGGGAGCUCCAUGGGCAGGGGAGCAGAGCAGCCUUUGUCCCCGGUCCCGUGCCUGGCACACCUCCAUGUGCCACGCACUUGUCAGGGGCCCUGCGUGGAGCUGGGCAGUGACUGGGGCCUCAGAGGACAGGAGUGGAGCUGUGCUGCUCUGCAGCACUUGAACAUCAGGUUCAGCUUCUUUCUUGAAGUUUCGGAUUGCAGGGAACAGUGACCUAGGAAGGUGUUGAUGGGAGUUUUUUUUUUUUUCCAGUCCUGCUUCUAACUGGUUUUAUCUAUGAUCUUUAAAAUGAUCCUGCUUCUGUCUGUUCCACUGACUUGCCACUGGCAAGUCUUCGUGUCAACAGGUUUUAUGAAAUGAAAGCAGGAUGUGUGAGCUACCCACUAUGGACCAAAUGUCCUGUUUUUUCCACGUUCCUCUGUUCCUAAUGGAUGCUUUGUUAGCAAAGCAGUGGGGCACCUUGUUCCUUUGCUGUCGGGACUAUCAAUUUCUCAUCCUUGCCUUCCUGAACAUCUUAACAGCCACUUACAAGUUUGCUUCUGAGCUGUAGCUUAAAUUGUUACUAAUUUCUUGGUUGAUGGGGCAACUUUUGGAGAACAGCCCAUCAAAAUCCAUUCUGGAGGGUGUAUUGCUCUUCUGCAUUUUUCCAGCCUGCUGGAUAAAACAGAGGUAUCAGGGAAAACAUGGCCUCGGGAGGCUGCUUGACCACGUAAAAUUUCUGCCCCGCUUUUCUGUCAUGUAGGACAUAGAAAUGUUUAGCCUGUUUCUUAUACACAGCUUAUGUGUGUCUUUUACCCUCCUAUGGCUUUUCUCAUUCUCAUACUCCAUGGAGCCUGUUGUUCUCCCUAGCCCUCCUGUGACUCCCUUCGUUGCACCAGGAGACAAUGAAGGAGCACUCUCAAAUUAACCUUACUACAAGCCAGCCUGGAAGAACUCUUGCUUGGAAGCAGUUUUCCUGUUUUCUGCCUCCACAAGGCUGGUAUAUUCUGUAAGAGGUGAGGACGCUGAGCAGUCAGAGAAGUGUCAUAACACAUUAUUUUGCAGAUGACAUCUAAAGGAAUCCUGUACUCAUAUUUUAUAAUGUAUGGGCUCAACAGAAUAUCUGAGACAGCCCGAAACUACAUGGCUUUCUUGCAAACUUCUGUAUAGUCAGAAAUAAAGGAGACUUAUGGUCUAGAAACAACCAAAAAAACAAAGCUUACCCCUGUUCCAUCUCCAGUCACCUCUUGUACAAACUCUUAAAGGGUUUAUCUGUUAAUGUUUUUUCAGCUUCAUACAUUAGGCAUCUUCCUCUGUCCCAUGUUUGUCACCACAUUUCACCUCGUCCCUCACCUUGUACUGUUGUUAUUCAUCCCCUUCUUCUCACCCACUUUAUCUGUUUUCACUGGCUUCAUUGCAGCUUCCUCUGACCUCACCUGCUUCAGGUCCCAUAACUCUACCCAUGCCUGUUCCCUCUCUUCUUUCCCUGACUUUUCUCACAGUAUUUCUAUACCUCUGAUUCUCCUUUAUAUCUCUGCUCCAACCCACAUGACCAUUUCUUGUUAUCCAUGUUAUCCAUUCUGUGUUAUGCAUUACUGUCAAAUUUUCAACUCAAAAACAGGAUAUCCCAAACAGAAAAAGCAUUAAAAUAAUUUUUAGGACCCUGAACACCUCCUGUCUCAGUCACUAAGGAUGUCAUUGCCAGCCUCUGUUCCUUCUGUCUGUUCCUCAGCCCUGUAACCAGAGCAUCAUCUAUUCUGACCCCUUCCCAGCCAUUGCAUUCAGGCUGUGUUAAUCUUGCUGGGUCUCCGAAAUGCAGAAUUUCCUUUCCUAUCCAUCUGUCUUCCUGUAGAUCCUAUUCAGCCUAUCUUUACUUCAGAGCAUCAUUAUUAAGCUUUUUUGUUCUGCCUGUGUCCAGUCUUGUACUGAAAAGAUACAUUUUCCUAGGCCAUUGUAUGGACCGUGCCUGCCUGUCUUUGCUACUCUCUGCUUGUCCCCUGCUCCACCACAUCUAUCGUAACAUGCUUUGUUUUGUUGCCCAGGCCAUUCCUGCCUGUACUGCUCCCCUGUCAUCUGUCACUCCACACUGAGAGAGAAUUUUCCACCUUCAGUCAACCCCCAAAGCAGGCCCAGCCCUAGCCCAGCCCAUCCUGGGAAUGCGUGAUGCCGUGUGUGUGAUGCUGGAAGCUCCCUGGCUCACGGGAGCGCGUGGGAUGUGUUGUGUCGGCACGUGGCUCACGGCAGCAACACGUUCCUCUGGCACCAGAGCUCCAGGCCAGGAUAAUAAUUCCCAGAUGCUUCAAACAUGUUAGUAGUUAUUGUUGCUGUUCUUGAAAAUAAAACCUGCUUUAGGAGAAUUUCGAAGAUUUUCUAGCUUUAGUAGAGUCUGAAAGCAAAAGACUGGUUGCUAAGCAGAUUAUGGGUUUUGGUUUUUUCUUUUAAUUAAUUGUAGUCAGAGGUGGCCAAUCUGCAGUGUCCCAGUGUGCCCAUGCCUUAAUCUCUGCACUGCCCCAGGAAAUGGUCAGGCCAAUUUUCUUUCCAUUGAUAAUUAUCUCGUGAAUCUUAGUACUCCAGCACGGGAACAGCUUGCAGUGUUUUGGCAGGAUGACAUGAGUAAUCCAUCCAGGGAAGUACUGGCUGUAAAAACUGUGUGGGCUUGAACCAUGCAGUACGAGCUCGGAGAAGAUGCAGUGGGAGUAACUGUGCUCUAGUAACACGGUGUUACACACUGUAAAAAUUCAAAGCAAAUCGUGAGUCUCUGACAGACUGUUUUCCAUUUUAGAAAUACACGAUCAUAUGCAGCUGAAGAAGUUGUACUUGUUCUGAGGUUUUCUGGCCGUGGCUCAGUAGGAAUGAUAUCCUUUUGGGAGGUGGUAGCUGCAGUUGUUACUGGGAGUUAAUUCAGUGCAUAGCAGGGUUGAUAGUUGCUUCAUUUGGAUGCUGGAUAAAGUGUGAGAGUGGGAUAUUUGGGAGUUCAGGAAACUCGGCUUCCAUGGAUUGAUUUGCAGGUAGUAAUGCUCUCCCCUCUCACUAUUUCAUUGUCAUGCUUUCUUGUUUUCAGUUGCUGAGCUGAAAACUUGUCCAUUGAACUGAAAAAUUUGUCCAUUGAACAUCCAUUCAGCCUGAAUUCUUUCUUGAAAGAUGCAUUUGAAGUGCUUUGUCACCCUGGUGUUAUUAGAUAGAAGUAUUUUUAUCACCUAAUUAAAAAAAUAAAAAUCAAUAGAAGCUUCUUCCCCAAGAAGCUCUGCAACAGCUGUUUUAUGAAAAGAGUAAGAAUAAUUUGGUGAUUUUUAUGUCAAAGUAUGGUUAAAAGGGGAAAAAAACGCAGUCAUACAGACCCAGGUGAAAUCUGUUACUCUGGCUGUUAAACUGUUGGAGGUUUUUGCAAGUACUGGACACGCUCUCUUCCUCUGUAGUUCUUCAUGCUCAGCAUCUGAACACCCAGCAAUGCCAAGCAGAGGACAGGGAAGUUCAUGUUUGUGUCUGUGGCUUCACUGGUGCAAAAACAGAGAGUAAUGCUGCCUCAGAAGGUAUCCUAUUUAGCAACACCUUUGGAAAACUUGUAAAGAAGUUCAUAUUUGUGUGCUCUGUGCUGUGUUUGCAUGGUAUGCAAAGCUCUGCACAGAGCCAGCAAACAGCACGGAGCUGCUGCCUGGUUUGUCCAUGUGCUCUGCCCUGAGCAGGCAGUGAGGCAGCACAGCUGGGGCAGAAGGUACCUGUCUGUGUGUCAGAUGGGCCCCAUCCAGGCUCAGUUCUGGCACUUCUGCCUCUGUUGCUUGUUAAUAUUUUGAUAUAUUUUUCACCUUGUUGGAGAGAGGGUAUUGAUAAAUGACCCAGCAAGAGUGUUCUUUUUUCUUACAGGGGUUUUUAGGGCAGUUUUUAUUUGUGCCUACAGUACUAAUGCAUCCUUGGCUUUAAGAGGAGUUGAACUGUGCUGUGUCUUGUACCUGUAGCAAGCACAUCCCUGUUUGUGAUAAGUCGAGGAUAGGAAGUCCUGGAAGUGUGCUCCAGCAUGGUAGGUAGUGUGCUACUGGGAGCCUUGCUUUCCAAGUUUGCUCUCUUGAGAGAGGGGAAAGGUGCUGUUGGCAGGGCUGAUCCCCUUGUAUGACUGCCCUUGGUGGCCUCGCUCUGGGAAAUGGGCUCUUUGGCUUCCCAGCGUGAUGGGAACUGCACUGCUUGUCUCCUCAGUUAUUUAUUUGCCUGUCCUACUGCCGCACCUGUGCUUCCUAUUGCAGUUAUUAUUUUUUCACAUUCAUGUACAUGUGCCUUUCAGUUCCCCAUUCAGCUGCAGAGUAUUGAAAUGCUCUUUUCAUUGGCCAGCAGUGGGUUUGUCUGUACAACUCCUGGCCUCCUAAAACUGACAACUAAACCAGUCUUCAAAAGCUUAGGCCCCGUUUGCUGCACAUACAAGCACAGUGACGAGUAAGGACUGGGCAAUAUUUAGUAUCAUAUUGAUGAAAAGUGAAGGCUUGUCUUUCUGUUUUUAUUUUAUCUAGUAUUAGACCGGGAGUUCUUGAAUAACUCAUUCUCUGAAGGCUUGGUCACUGGCCAUCUUCUGAGGCUGCAGCUUGGCUUUGUGUGUGCCCAGGCCUUUGAGGCUGUGCUGUGCUCACCACUUGCUCUGUUGGAGUGGCAGCUUUAUUCCCCUGAUGCAGUCCUGGCUGAGGAUGGCUCUUAGAGGAAGAAUUGGAAGGAAAUUAUCACAAUUGCAAAUUAGAUUCCAGUGGAGAUUGUGCAACAAUUAUUUGAAAUAUGCUCCCUCAGUGAUAGUUAUACAAAGUAAGUCCCACUGUAUUACAAGCCACGAGGUAAAACUUUCAGCUAUUUCAUCUCUUGCUGAUGCCACCUACCACAGAAGCAUGUCUGAUCAGUGAGGAAUAAGAAUGAGGCUUUAUUUCCAUCAUGGAAAGAUGCCACAUGGUGUUUAGAGAGUGCAGCAGGAGCUGGAGAGCCCCCCCCACUGCAAACACUUUGAGUUGCCAUGGAAGUAACUCCCCCGUGCACAGUCUCUGCCAAGGACCUGUGAGGGGUUUCACUGCGUGGGGGUGAAAACAAAAGCCAGGUCACAGCUAGAGUCACUCUGCAGCUUUUGUCCUUGUCAAGACCAGUUUCUAUUCACUGUGGGGUCAGAAUGGUGACUGCAACUUAUCAUUAAUUGUGCGAUUCUACAAGAUGUACACAAGGUAAACAUGUUUUUUGUGCCUGGGCAGUGUAGUGCAGGAGGGCACUUGGGUCUGCACAUCAGAAGAGAAAAGGAACAUAGGUGUGGCCUAGGCUGUUUCUUAGAGACAACAAAAUUAGAUGUAAAUGUGACCUUCAUUACUAUUUUGUAUCUUUUUCUUUUUUUUUUUCUGCAAUUUCAUCUCAACAUGAGUUUCCCUUGAAUUUCUCCUUUCAGGCAGGCUCAGAGUAGUGUCAAGAAGUGCCCUUUCAGAUGUCUUUAUAGACAUUCAGGCAAACUUUCUGUGCUUAUACACAGAAAGUUCACUUUUCUGUGCUUCAAAUGCUCAAGCAUGUUCGUGAGUGGCAAAGAUUUUAGGAAACUAUUGGAGAUCACCAUGGAUUUUAGAAACUUCUCAGUAUCCUGUGACACCACCAGCGUAGCUCUGUCUAGUUGAAUCACUGGAGUUUAUUUAUUUUCAGUGUAACUAAGUGCCCGGAGAAGACGGUAGUUGUUGUGCAGCUUUCAGAAGAGCAAGUGUGAUCAUGCUUCCCAUUCACCAUGAUUAGCUUCUCUUGAAGAUCCUCCCAAAUACUGCUCAGUGGCUUAUGUCCAAACUCAGUCAGUCAUGAAAACCCUUCAAAGCCAGACAAGAUUUGCAGAAUGCCCAGGAGUUGAACAGUGCAAUGAUGUGAGAACUGUGGACCUGAGGAACAUUCAUUAAAUGGAAGCCUGCAAGCUUAGGGAUUGGACUGUUAUGCCAUGGUGCAUUUGGCAGGGAGAAAUAGUUUUUUAAAGCCAUUAAGCAAAUGCAGGCCAAAAACGCAAACACCGUGAGCUUGAGCAGCUUGUGGAUCCCAGUAGUUUGCAGCGUAUGUGAGGGUUUUUUUACCAGGUCUUGUCCUACACAUUAUUCUCCUUGUUCCAUAUUUAAGUUAGAGAGAAGGAGAUUUGCAGGAUCUUUACAUUCAGAAAACAGAAACUGGCAUAAUUCUAGACUUGAUUUUAUGAUGCCUAAGAAAGACAGCUAUCUGAAACAGUGCAGAAGCAUAAGGAGACAGUGGACGUUUUGACUGCUUAGCCCUUUCUCUAUAGCCCCUGCUGAGGUCAGCACAAUUUGGGGAAAAACUCCAAAAUCAAAGAAAACUACCAGUACUCUUAAACAUUUCCCCUUUCAAAUCUCUCACCUGCUGUGUUCCAGGAUACCUACAGGAACUGUACAGAUCCCCAAGAAACAUUAUGGGCAUUGAUGUGCUAACACCUGAAAAAAGGCAUCUUUUUUUAAUGUAUUCUCUGCAUUGUGAGAGCAGCUGAGAGCAUUCUGUCCAUACCCACAUCGUGUGGCUGCUCCCUCAUUGCCCUUCCCAGAGACAGAUGCUACCGUGUUUAGGGGGAGAACCAUGACUUCUGGUUCCUUCUCCCAGAAAUGUGUGUGUCUAUAUAGACACAUGUUGGGUUUGGGGAUUUUUUUUUUCAUGUUUGAAACUGUUGUGUAAAAUGCAGAGUCAUCCUGUUGGAUAAUUGCAUCCUCUGUGGAGCAUCUGCAGCUCCAUGCGUUAUCUGCACUAUUGUCUAGCCCUAAUUACAGGUGCUGGACUGCUGAUUCAGAUUUCUCAGUUUCAUGUGUGGGGUAAGCACGUGAGAACUGGAAGAUAUGAAAUUACCUCCUGUCAAUGAAGAACUUAAAUACUGGGUCCUUCUUUUCCUCUCCUGUGGAGUGCUAUUGCUGCUGGCUGUUGAGUAAGAGGUGGGCUCUGCUUUGCUGGCUAGAGGAAAAAGGCUAUAGUCAAAGAGCUCUCCAAGGUCUAUCCCUGCCUUUCCAAGGAGGAGUGCCUUUUCAUCCUGUCCCUGAUCCGACAUGGGUGGGAGCUAUGCUUAGCUGGGGCAUCUUUGAGUGUACCCCAGGCAGAUUGAUGCUUGGUGAACUUUGCAGUCCAGCAGCAAAAGUUAAGCUCACAAAAGGGCUCUGUAGAGCUGAAUAGAGGUUUUCUGGUUGCAGAGAUUUGAGGUUUAAGUGACUCAGGCCUACGGAGGUGUUGGCAGAGGGAGCCAAGUCCUUUAGACAUUCUGGCUCCAGGAUCCUGCGAGGAAGUGGAUGGUGGAGUCCAACAGGAGCCGCUUCUCCCGGGCCCCCGGUCACAGGGCUGCACCUUCCCGUCCCCCUGCAAACAGCCCGCACUUGUUGCUCCCUCAGGUGUGUGGGGAGCCGGGUGUGCCCUGCCCGAGCCCGGCCCUGUCCCACGGCCGGCUAUUCCCAGCCCCACCGGACCUGGGGAUUUGCUUCUGGCAGGGCUGGUCUCUGUUGCUGGCACAUCUCAGCGCGGGUGGGAGGAUUUAAAAAAGCAGCCGCCUAAUCCAGCGCUGACCGUCCUUAAGAGCCUCCCCUGCACCCCACGGCUCGCUCGGCGUUGCUAAGGCCUCGUGUAUCCUGGAGACGGCGCCCAGCAAAUCGCGGAGCCGCUCUCUGGGAAGCCAAUAUCGCAGCCGGAUUGCGCUGCUCCGGCACGUCCUGCCAGAAGGAAUUCAGUGUCUUGCUGCUGCCAGAGCCAUGGCGACGGCUCCCUCGGCAGAGAUUCGCGGAGCCCCAAGGAUGCGGUGAGCGCUCCCCCUGAGCCGGGGGCGUUCGGCACAUGUGCUGUGCGGGACCGGCAAUGCCGUGCCGACAUUUAGACUCCUGCCACUGAGAGCUGCAGGCAGCUUUGGUUCACAGCCCUCUGCCCCAUCCGUGCCCGGCUGUACAGCAGGCACUUAAGCUUUUCUGGUGUUUUUUUUUCUCCUGGGGGCUGAGGCCAUGGCAAAGGUCCCCGACCGAAGCAGACACAAAUGGAGUGCGCUUCACACUUUCCUCCGCUGCAACAUGAACCCGGAGACCCAGCGGGUAGUGGUCUUUGUCAUCCUGCUCUUCCUCAUCAUCGUCAACGUGGUGCUGAUGUUUCUUUUGGCAUUUCACUGAAGGAGGACUGCCGGUAGUGGUGUGGUGCAUGGGGGUUUCCAGGACUGGGCAACAAAUCAGCAGGUCAUGGGAGAGUGAUGGUUGGAGUACUGAGGGCACUGACAGGAUCUAGAGGACUUAGGUGUCCUCAGCCACAGGUAACUAUCCCCACCCUUUGGUAGGAACUUCCCUGGCUAUUUCAGCAAAAGUAAAAUGGUUGAAAGCAAUUUCAGUUGAUUUGUUUUGCAUUAUAAUAAUCAGUUCCCACAUCUUAGGUGAGGAACUGAGAACUUCUUAUGCCACUCUGGAGUUUGAAGAAUCCCAUUGAGUGGGACUCAGGUGGACGUGCCCCUGGCAAGGCUCCCUCAGGCUGUGCUCCGAGGCACAGCUCUGCCUCCUCCACCUUCCACCAGGGCUGCUGCCCUCCUCCUGGAGCACUCCAUAAAGGCAGCUUUCAAAGCUUCUCCUUCUCCUGUGGGGGACCCUCCUCCUCUUCCCAUCUGUUUAAGCCACUUCUGAGGGGGGAAUAAGGGCUCAGAUGAUAUAAAUAAAAGGGAAUAACGUAAUUAAUGUCAGUCAGAAUGGUUUUGUGGAAAAUAGUUCUUACCAAAUAAAUGUGAUGACAAAUUU